CUCAAAUCCGCCGGGUCGUCUGCCAGGAAAAGCCUCUAAGGAGAGUUAGGUAACCGCACCACAAACCGACACAGGUGGACGAGAUGAAUAUUCUAAGGCGCUCGGGUGAUGGUAUGUUCAGGAACUAGGCACAUUAGCUCCGUAACUUCGGGAGAAGGAGUGCCCACGCAAGUGGGUCGCAGUGAAGAGUCUCAGGCGACUGUUUAACAAAAACACAGGUCUCUGCUAAGUCGAAAACGACGUAUAGGGGCUGACGCCUGCCCGGUGCCGGAAGGUUAAAGGGAGAGGUUAGCGCAAGCGAAGCUUUGAACUGAAGCCCCGGUGAACGGCGGCCGUAACUAUAACGGUCCUAAGGUAGCGAACUUCCUUGUCGGGUAAGUUCCGACCUGCACGAAUGGCGUAACGAUCUGAGAACUGUCUUAACAUGCCGCCCGGCGAACUUGUGGUCCCGGUGAAGACGCCGGGUGCCCGCCACUAGACGAAAAGACCCCGUGCACCUUUACUAUACUUUUUCAUUGAUUUAUGGGGCCAUCUGCGCAGCAUAGGUGGGAGGCUUUGAUUCCAGGUUCUCGGACUUGGAGGAGCCAACGGUGAGAUACCACCCUGAUGGUUCUGUGAAUCUAACCUGCUUCCGUAAUCCGGAAGAGGGACGAUGGAAGACGGGUAGUUUGACUGGGGCGGUCGCCUCCUAAAUUGUAACGGAGGCGCGCGAAGCUAGGUUCAGGCUGUUUGGAAAUCAGCCGACGAGUGCAAAAGCAUAAACCUGGUUAACUGUAAGACCAACAAGUCGAGCAGAUACGAAAGUAGGCUUUAGUGAUCCGGUGAUUCUGUAUGGAAGGGUCAUCGCUCAACGGAUAAAAGGUACGCCGGGGAUAACAGGCUGAUCGGAGUCAAGAGUUCACAUCGACGCUCCGGUUUGGCACCUCGAUGUCGGCUCAUCGCACCCUGGGGGUGUAGAAGCUCCCAAGGGUUAGGCUGUUCGCCUAUUAAAGCGGUACGUGAGCUGGGUUCAGAACGUCGCGAGACAGUUCGGUCUCUAUCUGUGGUGGGCGGAGGAAAUUUGAAGGGGCCUGCCCUUAGUACGAGAGGACCGGGGUGGACGAAUCUCUUGUGUUCCAGUUGUCACACCAGUGGCAUAGCUGGGUAGCGAAAUUCGGUCAGGAUAAGCGCUGAAUGCAUAUAAGCGCGAAACCUUCCCUAAGAUGAGAUUUCCCAACGAAAGUAAGAAGAGCACUGGAAGACUACCAGUUUGAUAGGGCAGAUGUGUAAGCGUAGUAAUACGUUGAGCUUACUGCUACUAAUCGCUCGUUCGGCUUGACCAU
This 1322-nucleotide ribosomal RNA is filed under the name metagenome. RNAcentral's name for it is "bacterial LSU rRNA". It matches the Rfam family "Bacterial large subunit ribosomal RNA", at positions 1584 to 2925 of the family's 2925-position model. The record is from RNAcentral.